GAUGAACGCUGGCGGCGUGCCUAAUACAUGCAAGUCGAGCGAACAGAUGAGGAGCUUGCUCCUCUGACGUUAGCGGCGGACGGGUGAGUAACACGUGGAUAACCUACCUAUAAGACUGGGAUAACUUCGGGAAACCGGAGCUAAUACCGGAUAAUAUAUUGAACCGCAUGGUUCAAUAGUGAAAGACGGUUUUGCUGUCACUUAUAGAUGGAUCCGCGCCGCAUUAGCUAGUUGGUAAGGUAACGGCUUACCAAGGCAACGAUGCGUAGCCGACCUGAGAGGGUGGUCGGCCACACUGGAACUGAGACACGGUCCAGACUCCUACGGGAGGCAGCAGUAGGGAAUCUUCCGCAAUGGGCGAAAGCCUGACGGAGCAACGCCGCGUGAGUGAUGAAGGUCUUCGGAUCGUAAAACUCUGUUAUUGGGGAAGAACAAAUGUGUAAGUAACUAUGCACGUCUUGACGGUACCUAAUCAGAAAGCCACGGCUAACUACGUG
RNAcentral lists this ribosomal RNA (497 nucleotides) under uncultured bacterium. Its description in RNAcentral is "partial 16S ribosomal RNA". It matches the Rfam family "Bacterial small subunit ribosomal RNA", at positions 28 to 507 of the family's 1533-position model. The record is from RNAcentral.